AGGAUAAUAGUUAAAUUAACAUUUAAGUUGCAUUUAAAAAAUACUGUAAUCAGUUUAUCUUA
RNAcentral lists this transfer RNA (62 nucleotides) under Henosepilachna pusillanima. RNAcentral describes it as "tRNA-Ala". The record is from RNAcentral. Lineage: Eukaryota; Metazoa; Arthropoda; Insecta; Coleoptera; Coccinellidae.